AGUAACGGCGAGUGAACGGAGAUUAGCCCAUCACCGAAGCCCAUUCGUGUUUGCGAACAGGGCCAUGUGGUGUUAGGGUGUGUGCCUGGGGCUGCUGACCUAUUUGAAGUCCGACUUCGAUUACGGCUUGGAAUUGUCCCAAAGCGGGUGAAAGGCCCGUUCGGAUAGGUUCAGGCAUUCAGCGGUCCUCAGAUGCGCAUACCUACGAGUCGGAUUGCUUGAGAAUGCAGUCCAAAGUGGGUGGUAAACUCCAUCCAAGGCUAAAUACUGGCUCGAGUCCGAUAGUAGACAAGUACCGUGAGGGAAAGUUGAAAAGUACUCUGAAGAGA
Molecule: ribosomal RNA, 329 nt
Filed under: Trianchoratus gussevi
Lineage: Eukaryota; Metazoa; Platyhelminthes; Monogenea; Dactylogyridea; Ancyrocephalidae
Description: eukaryotic LSU rRNA
Rfam family: Eukaryotic large subunit ribosomal RNA
Source: RNAcentral